Molecule: ribosomal RNA, 253 nt
Filed under: uncultured bacterium
Lineage: Bacteria
Description: partial 16S ribosomal RNA
Rfam family: Bacterial small subunit ribosomal RNA
Source: RNAcentral
UACGUAGGGCGCAAGCGUUGUCCGGAAUUAUUGGGCGUAAAGAGCUCGUAGGCGGCCUGUUGCGUCCGCUGUGAAAUCCCGGGGCUUAACCCCGGGCGUGCAGUGGAUACGGGCAGGCUGGAGGCAGGCAGGGGAGAACGGAAUUCCCGGUGUAGCGGUGAAAUGCGCAGAUAUCGGGAGGAACACCGGUGGCGAAGGCGGUUCUCUGGGCAUGUCCUGACGCUGAGGAGCGAAAGUGUGGGGAGCGAACAGG